This 508-nucleotide ribosomal RNA is filed under the name Oedaleus asiaticus. RNAcentral describes it as "partial 16S ribosomal RNA". It matches the Rfam family "Bacterial large subunit ribosomal RNA", at positions 1819 to 2597 of the family's 2925-position model. Lineage: Eukaryota; Metazoa; Arthropoda; Insecta; Orthoptera; Acrididae. The record is from RNAcentral.
GUCUUCUUGAUAAUAUUUUGAAGUCUUACCUGCUCAAUGAUUAAAUUUAAAUGGCCGCGGUAUUAUGACCGUGCAAAGGUAGCAUAAUCAUUAGUUUCUUAAUUGGAGACUGGAAUGAAUGGUUUGACGAGAAAUUGACUGUCUCUUAAUAAUUUUUAGAAUUUAACUUUUAAGUUAAAAGGCUUAAAUAUUUCUUUUGGACGAGAAGACCCUAUAGAGCUUUACAUUUAUAAAUUAAUUUUUAUUAUAUAGAUGAUUUCUUAAUAUUAAUUUGUUUUGUUUGGUUGGGGUGACUUGAAGAAUAAAUAAACUCUUCAUUAUUAAAUCAUUGAUUUAUGUUUAUUUGAUCCAUAAUUUUUGAUUAUAAGAUUAAGUUACCUUAGGGAUAACAGCGUAAUCAUUUUUGAGAGUUCUUAUUGAUAAAGUGGAUUGCGACCUCGAUGUUGGAUUAAGAUUAAUUACGGGUGUAGUGGCUUGAUAAUUAGGUCUGUUCGACCUUUAAAUUCUU